UGGUUCUGGCAUCGAUGAAGAACGCAGCGAAAUGCGAUAAGUAAUGUGAAUUGCAGAAUUCAGUGAAUCAUCGAAUCUUUGAACGCACAUUGCACCCUUUGGUAUUCCAAGGGGUAUGCCUGUUCGAGCGUCAUUGCACCAUCAAGCCCUGCUUGGUAUUGGAUGCCACCUUUAUGGUGCGUCUUAAAAUUAUUGGGCAGUGGCAUUUAGCUUCUAGUGUAGUACUUCUUCUCACUUUGGAGCUUAAAUGCUAACUGCUUUGCAAACUUAUGAUUUCAAGAGUUGACCUCGGAUCAGGUAGGGAUACCCGCUGA
This 314-nucleotide unclassified non-coding RNA is filed under the name uncultured fungus. RNAcentral's name for it is "partial contains 5.8S ribosomal RNA and internal transcribed spacer 2". The stretch from base 1 to 133 matches the Rfam family "5.8S ribosomal RNA", at positions 22 to 154 of the family's 154-position model. Lineage: Eukaryota; Fungi. The record is from RNAcentral.